CCCCUGUCUGUUUUGGUCCUUUAUUUUGUGCCUUCCCUGCUUUGUUCAGUUUUGUUAAACCCCUUUGUGUCUCGGAACCGCCAGGAGAUCAUCACCCUCAUUUCUGCCUGCACCAUGCCCCAAGUCUGUGACAAUAGGCGUGCACAUAUGCUGUCAUCCAGACUUAGAAAACGACUUGGAAAGGAAGCAACAAAUUAACGAACCAAUCAGGCAGACAGUUACUGAGGGAGCUGAUGGCUCCAUUUCAGCAUAUGAGAUUUAACGCCCAGGAAGUUGCUAUUUGAUCGAAGAACAUG
This is a long non-coding RNA of Brienomyrus brachyistius, 296 nucleotides long. RefSeq lists it as uncharacterized. The transcript has 3 exons. The record is from RefSeq and is a predicted model, not a curated record. Lineage: Eukaryota; Metazoa; Chordata; Actinopteri; Osteoglossiformes; Mormyridae.